GGAUAAGUUGCAAAGCCGGUGAAGCUUCUGUAUUCCCGGAUUGCAGCCUCCCCUUCGGCUCGAGUUGUACGCUCAGGUAAGCCAGGUCUAGAACAAACACCCAGGUUUUGAACCUAGAAUAACUUAACCUUAUGCCGGAUUCACCGCCUCCCCCUCGGCUCGAGUUGUCUGCUCGGGCAAGCCAGGUCUAGAACAAACACCAGGUUUUAAACCUAGAAUAACUCGGUCACAUACCAGAUCCCUAGUAGGAAUGCUUAUCUGCAUCAUGUGCAUAUUGACUUAGGGGACUCAACACAGGGGUUAGGUCCGUCAAGGGCUAGCAACCUGAAAUGAAAAGACCAUCCUGAUGCAUCCUACUUGUUUUCUGUCCAUUUAUUUGUUCGGGCUUGCAUGUUGACCGGCUUUUGA
Molecule: long non-coding RNA, 408 nt
Filed under: Nicotiana benthamiana
Lineage: Eukaryota; Viridiplantae; Streptophyta; Magnoliopsida; Solanales; Solanaceae
Description: long non-coding RNA (NBEN_LNC009121)
Source: RNAcentral